CCUACGGGAGGCAGCAGUGAGGAAUAUUGGUCAAUGGGCGCGAGCCUGACCCAGCCAAGUCGCGUGAGGGAAGACGGUCCUAUGGAUUGUAAACCCCUUUUGUCGGGGAGCAAAAGACGCCACGCGUGGCGUUCCGAGAGUACCCGAAGAAAAAGCAUCGGCUAAAGCCGCUCCAGCAGCCGCGGUAAAACGGGGGAUGCGAGCGUUAUCCGGAUUUAUGGGGUUUAAAGGGUGCGCAGGGGGAAGAUCAAGUCAGCGGUAAAAUUGAGAGGCUCAACCUCUUCGAGCCGUUGAAACUGGUUGUCUUGAGUGAGCGAGAGGUAUGCGGAAUGCGUGGUGUAGCGGUGAAAUGCAUAGAUAUCACGCAGAACUCCGAUUGCGAAGGCAGCAUACCGGCGCUCAACUGACGCUCAUGCACGAAAGUGUGGGUAUCGAACAGGAUUAGAUACCCCAGUAGUC
Molecule: ribosomal RNA, 459 nt
Filed under: uncultured bacterium
Lineage: Bacteria
Description: partial 16S ribosomal RNA
Rfam family: Bacterial small subunit ribosomal RNA
Source: RNAcentral